GGGGUGUUCAGAUAUGCACAACCCUCCCGCAAAGCGACACAAUCCCAGGCAGACCCCCCAUCCCACCCCGUGGCUCUGUUGAACUCGGGGACCCGGCUGUUGCUCGCCGACACAAAGGGGGCACAGACUGCCCAUGUCGACAAGAAGCCCUCCCGAGGCGUCCCAGAAAGGUACGGCUUCUCAUCUGCCUGCCUGAUCCAUCGACCUCUGCUGCCUGAGAUGUACGUCACUCGGGAUUGAUGGCGUCCUCCCCACACUCGGACACAGACCCUCGGCAGGAUUUUGCCAUUGGUGUCGCUGCUAGACCUGCCUUUUGUAUGAAGAUCCUGCUACUCACAAGAUACAGAUUGGCUGGUCCCGAUUUGGAAGGUCUCUGCUCCAUGAACAGACCGGAACGAAAUGAAACAGGCUCAAAGUUCAGCAGGAGCUGAGACGGAGCCUUUGCCAGUUCCCCGGAGGGGUACCGACCAGGUCUUCCGCCUUCACUGAGCAAGUCUGGAGAGAAGCAACGGAGAUUUGCAUCUUCCAGUGAUCUUGUGAGUUAGUGGCAUGAAGACGUUCUUCAGAUGUCCCUGGCGUCUGCAAUCGCCUUGCUCGUUGCUCUGCCAAACCAGAAGACACCUUGUCUCUCCAAUAACCUCACACUAUGAAGCUAUCAACCGGUGCGAACAAGAAGUGCCCAAGUACUUCAAUUUUGCAAGUGAUGUUUUGGACAAGUGGUCACAAAUGGAAAAGGAAGGGAAGAGGCCGGGCAACGCAGCCUUCUGGUGGGUGAACGGCCAGAGCGACGAGGUGAAGUGGAGCUUUGAGGAGCUGGGCUUCUUCUCCAGGAAAGCUGCCAAUGUGCUCUCCGGUCCGUGCGGCUUGGAAAGAGGAGACAGAAUCAUCACCAUCCUGCCCCGGAUUCCGGAGUGGUGGUUGCUGAAUGUGGCUUGCAUGCGGACAGGCAUUGUUUUUAUUCCUGGAACCUCCCAGUUAACAGCUAAAGACAUUUCCUACCGACUGCACGCUUCCCAAGCGAAAUGUAUUGUCACCUGCGAUGCCUUGGCCUCCAAGGUGGACUCUGUGGUGUCCGGAUGCACGUCUCUGAAGAGCAAGCUCCUCGUGUCUGAGGGCAGCAGGGAUGGCUGGCUGAACUUCAAGGACCUUUUCCAAGCAGCACCAGCUGACCAUGACUGUGUUAAGACAAAGAGCGGAGAACCAAUGUUCAUCUACUUUACGAGUGGAAGCACCGGGCCUCCCAAAAUGGCCGAGCACUCGCACUGCAGCUAUGGCAUUGGAUUCGCAGCCAGUGGCAGGCACUGGAUGAAUCUGACUCCUUUGGAUGUAUUCUGGAAUACAUCAGACACUGGAUGGGUCAAGUCAGCUUGGAGCAGUGUCUUUGCUCCAUGGAUUAAUGGAUCAUGCGUCUUUGUGCAUCAUAUGCCACAAUUUGAGCCCACAGUCAUAUCCGAUACUCUUGCAAGAUACCCCAUCACUACUUUCUGCACAGCUCCCACGGCAUAUCGUAUGUUGGUCCAGCACAAUCUCACCAGCUGCAGAUUCAGGAGCCUGCAGCACUGUGUGACUGGCGGGGAACCCCUCAACCCAGAAGUGAUGGAGCAGUGGAAGAUUCAAACGGGGCUGGAUAUCUAUGAAGCAUACGGACAGACUGAAACGGUAACCAUUUGUGCUAAUGUAAAAGGAAUGAAGAUUAAACCGGGCUCAAUGGGAAAGGCAUCACCACCAUAUGAUGUCCAGAUUGUAGAUGACCAGGGAAAUAUUUGCCCUCCAGGAGAAGAAGGAGACAUUGCUAUUAGAAUCAAACCAAAGCGGCCGUUUUGUAUGUUCUCACAGUACUUGGAUAAUCCUGAGAAAACUGCCGCCACUGAGCGAGGAAGCUUUUAUAUCACUGGAGACCGAGCGAUCAUGGAUGCAGAAGGCUACUUUUGGUUUGUCGGGAGGCUGGAUGAUGUCAUUAAUUCGGCUGGGUAGGUUCCUUUCAGCGGAACGGGCUGCUCCCAAAGGGGUCCUUUUUCAAAAGCUCCAUAUCACCCAUCCUCUCCUAGGUACCGCAUUGGCCCAUUUGAGGUGGAAAGCGCCUUGAUAGAACAUCCAGCUGUGUCUGAAUCCGCUGUGGUCAGCAGCCCCGAUCCUGUCCGCGGAGAAGUGGUGAAAGCUUUCGUUGUCCUCUCUCCUGACUUUUUAUCACACAAU
Molecule: RNA transcript, 2196 nt
Organism: Hemicordylus capensis (graceful crag lizard)
Lineage: Eukaryota; Metazoa; Chordata; Lepidosauria; Squamata; Cordylidae
Gene name: acyl-coenzyme A synthetase ACSM5, mitochondrial-like
Exons: 14
Source: RefSeq, a predicted model, not a curated record